CCUACGGGAGGCAGCAGUGAGGAAUAUUGGUCAAUGGACGAGAGUCUGAACCAGCCAAGUAGCGUGAAGGAUGACUGCCCUAUGGGUUGUAAACUUCUUUUAUAUGGGAAUAAAAUGUUCCACGUGUGGGAUUUUGUAUGUACCAUAUGAAUAAGGAUCGGCUAACUCCGUGCCAGCAGCCGCGGUAAUACGGAGGAUCCGAGCGUUAUCCGGAUUUAUUGGGUUUAAAGGGAGCGUAGGUGGAUUGUUAAGUCAGUUGUGAAAGUUUGCGGCUCAACCGUAAAAUUGCAGUUGAAACUGGCAGUCUUGAGUACAGUAGAGGUGGGCGGAAUUCGUGGUGUAGCGGUGAAAUGCUUAGAUAUCACGAAGAACGCCGAUUGCGAAGGAAGUUCACUGGACUGCAACUGACACUGAGGCUCGAAAGUGUGGGUAUCAAACAGGAGUAGAUACCCUUGUAGUC
RNAcentral lists this ribosomal RNA (460 nucleotides) under uncultured bacterium. RNAcentral's name for it is "partial 16S ribosomal RNA". It matches the Rfam family "Bacterial small subunit ribosomal RNA", at positions 338 to 795 of the family's 1533-position model. The record is from RNAcentral.